ACGUGUUGAUGGAACUGUUGUCGAGAAAACUGGCAUGGACUUGUGAGAUCUCUCUAGGUACACGCAGAAAGCAGGGUAAAAGCCUGGGGAAUAACAGUAAUCUUGUAUUGAUUUAAGAAUGAUUAAAGAAAUGAAAUACAAAAUACAUAACUGUGUAAUAGUUUAAAUGGUUGAUGUA
Molecule: long non-coding RNA, 178 nt
Organism: Poecilia latipinna (sailfin molly)
Lineage: Eukaryota; Metazoa; Chordata; Actinopteri; Cyprinodontiformes; Poeciliidae
Exons: 3
Source: RefSeq, a predicted model, not a curated record